Corticium candelabrum is the source of this 697-nucleotide long non-coding RNA. RefSeq lists it as uncharacterized. The transcript has 3 exons. NCBI's taxonomy places the organism in Eukaryota, Metazoa, Porifera, Homoscleromorpha, Homosclerophorida, Plakinidae. The record is from RefSeq and is a predicted model, not a curated record.
CGGACUCUGAGUGUGCCACCUGUUUGUCCAACGUAUUGUUUGUGACAUCUGGGUACAUCACACGUAAUGACAUAAAUUAUGUUUGUUGAUGCGCAUGUCAUUCGUCCAUUUAUUGUUGUGUUGUUGUUUUGGAAAUAUAGUGGGUAUGACUUACCGGUGGUGGUGCUGCGGAUGGCAGAGCAAAUCGUGAUCUGAUGGCAUAUUCCGCAUUGUGUGUGGUUUCAAGUUGUCGUGACUGGCGUAAUGGCGACUCUAGGCAAUCAUUGGUGGGUGACAUCCAAGUAUUGAUUCGAGUUGGGGAUCGCUGUCGAUCAUGAUUUGCCAUUGUCUGUGGAUCAAUUGUUUGAUGUUUGGGAACCAGGGGAUAUGUAGUCAUUUGAGUCCCGGAUGUAACUGUUCUGUGUGAGUGCAAUUGGUUUGAGAAGAUAGUCUACGAAUUGAGAGAUGGCUUCAGUCGGUCCUGAGCAACCAGACACGAUUGGUCGAUAUGCGACUGGAGUUUUGUGUAUUUUACUGAGAAAAUAGAGUUGUUGUGUUCGUACUUUAGAUGGUUUAAUUAAGUUGAGAGAUGGCUUCAGUCGGUCCUGAGCAACCAGACACGAUUGGUCGAUAUGCGACUGGAGUUUUGUGUAUUUUACUAAGAAAAUAGAGUUGUUGUGUUCGUACUUUAGAUGGUUUAAGUUGGAAAAGAAAUUGU